RNAcentral lists this long non-coding RNA (707 nucleotides) under Homo sapiens (human). Its description in RNAcentral is "HSALNT0183061". Lineage: Eukaryota; Metazoa; Chordata; Mammalia; Primates; Hominidae. The record is from RNAcentral.
CUCAUAUAUACUUAAUACCUACACCUCGGGGGCCUCCCCAUGAUGCCAAGUUCACAUGCAUCAUUUUUUUUUUCACUGUAGGGCAGUGGAAGGGCUAAUUGGUCUGGAUGAAGAGACAAUGAGAAAUGAAGGCUCUGCAGCAGGCUCAUUGCUCAUUCACUGGCCUCUGUAGCUACUGGGGUCCUUGUAUCUGAUGCCAGAGCCUUACGAGAGGAAGGGAGUGGAAGGCCAGGGAAGAAGAAGCCAGAGGCUUGGGCCAGGAACUGUCCAGCCAGGAAAGUGCUGAAUCAGCCCUCACCUCUGAACUUGGAGGGUCCAUGGAAGCUGCUGCCAGGACCUAACCUCUGGAAAUACACCUUUCCAAGCUGUGCAGGAGACUCCGUGCUGUUUCACAGGACGUGGCUUGGGGACAAGGAGAUGCAGUUCCCUGAUGCAGCGGCUCAGCACUGCACAGGCGCCCCCUCAUGCAGCCUGUUCUCAGCAGGGCCCACUGAGAAGACGACAAAAAAUGAGAACUCCAGCAUCCUGAUUCCCCACUCCAGGGCCCGCCGCCUUGGCCUCAGAGCCAGCACCAGACGCCCUUCAGAGACCGCAAACCUCCAGGAAAAAUUAAAUCCUCACAAAACACCCUUUAAUUUUAUCCACUUGCCUUAAUGAAGGUUCUGGUAUUAAUGAACUCAGAGGCUUUUUGUCUGACAGUUCUGCUG